This 148-nucleotide non-coding RNA is filed under the name Homo sapiens (human). Lineage: Eukaryota; Metazoa; Chordata; Mammalia; Primates; Hominidae. The record is from Rfam by way of RNAcentral.
GCCAGGCACAGUGGCGUGUGCCUGUAGUCCCAGCUACUCGGGAGGCUGAGACAGGAGAAUUGCUUGAACCCGGGAGGCAGAGGUUGCAGUGAGCCAAGAUCAUGCCACUGCACUCCAGCCUGGGCAACAGAGCAAGACUCUGCCUCAA